CUGAAAUGCCUUUAACAGCUAAGGCACCUCUAUCACUUCCCUCAACGGUGACACAUCUGGUGUGCUACAGAGGACUGUCACAAUGUGGUGUUUGGUAUCCCAGGAUGCCAGAGAAUCCACUAGCCAUGAUCAAAGCUAGACAUGCUUCUAACUAACACAAGCAUAGGAUAAGAUUGUCCUUGCCUUAUGUGGCAUAAGUCACCCCCAACAUGGUGAGGAGAGCAGCGUCUACUGGACAGAACGCUUACACAUGGAUCCUGCAGUGAGCAGACCCCUGCACCUAUGAAGAUCCAUGCUGACAUCAAGACAGGAACUUCAUGCACUUUGAGGUGAACCCAGUAUCUGCUUUGCAGUCCUUCCCGGAACAGCAUCCUGUGGUCAAGGAAGCCAAAGCCCUCUUGGUGACAUCAUCCUUGCAGCCAGGACUUCAUCUCUAGGAUGUUUCUGUCUCUGCCUGGGCCCCUACCCUUGACAUGAAGGAUCAAAGAGAAGUCUGAAGAAUGAAACGUUGAACACCUUGUGUCCCCCAAGAUGAACCCACACAACUAUGCCAGCUGUUCACUAGCUGCAGGACAUGAUUUGGAGAUGCAUCUCUUGGAAGAAAUGAGGAUAACAAAAGGUUUUCCUAUAGUGAGGAUAAUAAACCAAGGUAACUAAGGUAGUGUUCAGCUGAACAAUUAAGUUGCUGCUUGUUAUAAUUAGUUUCAGUUGUAGUGGAUU
Molecule: long non-coding RNA, 720 nt
Organism: Mauremys mutica (yellowpond turtle)
Lineage: Eukaryota; Metazoa; Chordata; Testudines; Geoemydidae
Exons: 5
Source: RefSeq, a predicted model, not a curated record